RNAcentral lists this ribosomal RNA (275 nucleotides) under uncultured bacterium. RNAcentral describes it as "partial 16S ribosomal RNA". It matches the Rfam family "Bacterial small subunit ribosomal RNA", at positions 338 to 608 of the family's 1533-position model. The record is from RNAcentral.
CCUACGGGUGGCUGCAGUCGAGAAUCUUCGGCAAUGGGCGCAAGCCUGACCGAGCGACGCCGCGUGUGGGAUGAAGGCCUUCGGGUUGUAAACCACUGUUAGAGGGGAUGAAAUGCAGGUGGGUUCUCCCAUCUGUUUGACAUAGCCUCAGAGGAAGGACGGGCUAAGUUCGUGCCAGCAGCCGCGGUAAGACGAACCGUCCAAACGUUAUUCGGAAUCACUGGGCUUAAAGGGUGCGUAGGCGGCGCGGCAAGUUGGGUGUGAAAUACCUCGGC